AACGAACGUUAGCGGCGCGCUUAACACAUGCAAGUCGAACGAGAAAGGGCUUCGGCCCCGGUACAGUGGCGCACGGGUGAGUAACACGUGGGUAAUCUACCCUCGAGCGGGGGAUAACGUUCCGAAAGGAGCGCUAAUACCGCAUAAGACCACGCUCUCGAAAGGGAGCGAGGUAAAAGUAGGCCUCUGAAUUCACGCUUACACUCGAGGAUGAGCCCCGCGACCCAUCAUGGUAGUUGGUAGGGUAAUGGCCUACCAAGCCGAAGACGGGUAGCUGGUCUUAGAGGAUGAUCAGCCACACUGGAACUGAGACACGGUCCAGACUCCUACGGGAGGCAGCAGUGGGGAAUCUUAGACAAUGGGCGCAAGCCUGAUCUAGCCAUGCCGCGUGAGUGAUGAAGGCCUUAGGGUUGUAAAGCUCUUUCAGAUGGGAAGAUAAUGACGGUACCAUCAGAAGAAGCCCCGGCUAACUCCGUGCCAGCAGCCGCGGU
This 491-nucleotide ribosomal RNA is filed under the name uncultured bacterium. RNAcentral describes it as "bacterial SSU rRNA". It matches the Rfam family "Bacterial small subunit ribosomal RNA", at positions 29 to 521 of the family's 1533-position model. The record is from RNAcentral.